RNAcentral lists this ribosomal RNA (273 nucleotides) under uncultured bacterium. RNAcentral's name for it is "partial 16S ribosomal RNA". It matches the Rfam family "Bacterial small subunit ribosomal RNA", at positions 524 to 796 of the family's 1533-position model. The record is from RNAcentral.
UACGUAGGGUCCGAGCGUUGUCCGGAAUUAUUGGGCGUAAAGGGCUCGUAGGCGGUUAGUCACGUCGGGAGUGAAAACUCAGGGCUCAACCCUGAGCGUGCUUCCGAUACGGGCUGACUAGAGGUAUGCAGGGGAGAACGGAAUUCCUGGUGUAGCGGUGGAAUGCGCAGAUAUCAGGAGGAACACCGGUGGCGAAGGCGGUUCUCUGGGCAUUACCUGACGCUGAGGAGCGAAAGCAUGGGGAGCGAACAGGAUUAGAAACCCUUGUAGUCC